RNAcentral lists this ribosomal RNA (488 nucleotides) under uncultured bacterium. Its description in RNAcentral is "partial 16S ribosomal RNA". It matches the Rfam family "Bacterial small subunit ribosomal RNA", at positions 28 to 507 of the family's 1533-position model. The record is from RNAcentral.
GACGAACGCUGGCGGCGUGCUUAACACAUGCAAGUCGAACGGAAAGGCGCGGCUCUUGUGGCGUGCUCGAGUGCCGAACGGGUGUGUAUCACGCGAGUAACCUGCCCUUGACUGUGGGAUAACUUCAGGGAACUGGGGCUAAUACCGGGUAUGAGCUCUUGCUGCACGGUGGGGAUUGGAGAGAUUCGGCGUUGCGGGAAGGACUCGCGGCUUAUCAGCUUGUUGGUGUGGUAGUGGCUUACCAAGGCUUAGACGGGUAGCCGACCUGAGCGGCUGGCAGGCGAGCAGGGAACGGCGACACGGUCCAGGCUCCGACGGGAGGCAGAAGGAGGGCAGCUUGCGCAAUGGGGGAAGGCCUGACGGAGCAACGCCGCGUGAGUGAGGAAGGGCUUCGAAUAGUAAACCUCUGUUAUUAGGGAAGAACAAGUGUGUAAGUAACUAUGCACGUCUUGACGGUACCUAAUCAGAAAGCCACGGCUAACUACGUG